GUGCUUGCUUCGGCAGCAUAUAUACUAAAAUUGCAACAAUACAGAGAAGAUUAGCAUGGACCCUGCGCAAGGAUGACACGCAAAUUCAUGAAGCGUUCCACAUUAAA
Molecule: small nuclear RNA, 107 nt
Filed under: Octodon degus (degu)
Lineage: Eukaryota; Metazoa; Chordata; Mammalia; Rodentia; Octodontidae
Source: RNAcentral